CGCACGGGUGAGUAAUGCAUAGGUAACGUGCCCCUUAGUCUGGGAUAGCCACUGGAAACGGUGAAUAAUACUAGAUACUCCUUUUUACUUAAUGUAAUUUGGGAAAGUUUUUCGCUAAGGGAUCGGCCUAUGUUGUAUCAGGUAGUUGGUGAGGUAAUGGCUCACCAAGCCUAUGACACAUAGCGGGUCUGAGAGGAUGAUCCGCCACACUGGUACUGAGACACGGACCAG
This 231-nucleotide ribosomal RNA is filed under the name uncultured bacterium. Its description in RNAcentral is "partial 16S ribosomal RNA". It matches the Rfam family "Bacterial small subunit ribosomal RNA", at positions 99 to 334 of the family's 1533-position model. The record is from RNAcentral.